AUACUUACCUGGCAGGGGGGACACCAUGAGCACAGAGGUGGUUUUCCCAGGGCGAGGCUUAUCCGUUGCACUCCAGAUGUGCUGACCCCUGCUGUUUUCCCAAAUGUGGGAAACUCGACUGAAUAAUAUGUGGUAGUGGGGGACUGUGUUUACCCUCUCCUCAU
This is a small nuclear RNA of Molossus molossus (Pallas's mastiff bat), 164 nucleotides long. RefSeq annotates it as U1 spliceosomal RNA. The record is from RefSeq and is a predicted model, not a curated record. The transcript has a single exon. NCBI's taxonomy places the organism in Eukaryota, Metazoa, Chordata, Mammalia, Chiroptera, Molossidae.